RNAcentral lists this ribosomal RNA (497 nucleotides) under uncultured bacterium. RNAcentral's name for it is "partial 16S ribosomal RNA". It matches the Rfam family "Bacterial small subunit ribosomal RNA", at positions 28 to 507 of the family's 1533-position model. The record is from RNAcentral.
GAUGAACGCUGGCGGCGUGCCUAAUACAUGCAAGUCGAGCGAACGGACGAGAAGCUUGCUUCUCUGAUGUUAGCGGCGGACGGGUGAGUAACACGUGGAUAACCUACCUAUAAGACUGGGAUAACUUCGGGAAACCGGAGCUAAUACCGGAUAAUAUUUUGAACCGCAUGGGUCAAAAGUGAAAGACGGUCUUGCUGUCUCUUAUCGAUGGAUCUCCGCUGCAUUAGCUAGUUGGUAAGUUAACGGCUUACCAAGGCAACGAUGCAUAGCCGACCUGAGAGGGUGAUCGGCCACACUGGAACGGAGCCACGGUCCAGAGUACUACGGGAGGGCGCAGUAGGGAAUGUUAGGCAAUAGGCGAAAGCAUGACGGAGCAACGCCGAGUGAGUGAUGACGGUCUUCGGAUCGUAAAACUCGGUUAUUAGGGAAGAACCUAUGUGUAAGUAACUGUGCACAUCUUGACGGUAACUAAUCAGAAAGCCACGGCUAACUACGUG